This 96-nucleotide ribosomal RNA is filed under the name Dictyobacter alpinus. The record is from RNAcentral. Lineage: Bacteria; Bacillati; Chloroflexota; Ktedonobacteria; Ktedonobacterales; Dictyobacteraceae.
UGGUGACUUUAGCGAAGAGGGUACACCCGUUCCCAUCCCGAACACGGUAGUUAAGCUCUUCCUCCCCGAUGAUACUGCGUGGGAAAAUAGGAAGUC